This 1193-nucleotide ribosomal RNA is filed under the name metagenome. RNAcentral's name for it is "bacterial SSU rRNA". It matches the Rfam family "Bacterial small subunit ribosomal RNA", at positions 299 to 1521 of the family's 1533-position model. The record is from RNAcentral.
GGUGGCCCCUCACAAUGGAACUGAGACACGGUCCAUACACCUACGGGUGGCAGCAGUAGGGAAUAUUGCACAAUGGACGAAAGUCUGAUGCAGCAACGCCGCGUGUACGAUGAAGGCCUUCGGGUCGUAAAGUACUUUUCAGGGAGAUGAGAAAGGACAGUACCCCUGGAAUAAGUCUCGGCUAACUGCGUGCCAGCAGCCGCGGUAAAACGUAGGAGGCGAGCGUUAUCCGGAUUUACUGGGUGUAAAGCGCGUGCAGGCGGUUUGAUAAGUUGGAUGUGAAAGCUCCUGGCUCAACUGGGAGAGGUCGUUCAAAACUAUCAGACUAGAGAGUGGUAGAGGAAAGUGGAAUUCCCGGUGUAGUGGUGAAAUGCGUAGAUAUCGGGAGGAACACCAGUGGCGAAGGCGGCUUUCUGGACCAUUUCUGACGCUCAGACGCGAAAGCUAGGGUAGCAAACGGGAUUAGAGACCCCGGUAGUCCUAGCAGUAAACGAUGUGAACUUGGCGUUGGUGGUGUAAAAACCAUCAGUGCCGAAGCUAACGCGAUAAGUUCACCACCUGGGAACUACGGCCGCAAGGUUAAAACUCAAAGGAAUUGACGGGUCCCCGCACAAGCAGCGGAGCGUGUGGUUUAAUUCGAUAUUACACGAAGAACCUUACCCGGGUUUGACAUACAAGUGGUAGUGAAGCGAAAGCGGAACGACCCUUCGGGGAGCUUGAACAGGUGCUGCAUGGCUGUCGUCAGCUCGUGUCGUGAGAUGUCCGGUUAAGUCCGGUAACGAGCGCGACCCUCGCCGUAUGUUACAAGUGUCAUACGGGACCGCCGGUAUCAAGCCGGAGGAAGGUGGGGAUGACGUCAAGUCAGCAUGGCCUUUAUAUCCGGGGCUACACACACGCUACAAUGGCCGGUACAAUAGGUUGCUAAGCCGCGAGGUAGAGCCAAUCCUCAAAGCCGGUCUCAGUUCAGAUCGCAGGCUGCAACUCGCCUGCGUGAAGUUGGAGUUGCUAGUAAACGCGCGUCAGCUAUAGUGCGUUGAAUACGUUCCCGGGGAUUGUACACACCGCCCGUCACGUCAUGGGAGCUGGCAACACCUGAAGUCAGUAGCCUAACCGCAAGGAGGGCGCUGCCGAAGGUGGGGUUGGUGACUGGGACGAAGUCGUAACAAGGUAGGAGUACCGGAAGGUGCGCCUGG